GAUGAACGCUGGCGGCGUGCUUAACACAUGCAAGUCGAACGAUGAAGCCCAGCUUGCUGGGUGGAUUAGUGGCGAACGGGUGAGUAACACGUGAGUAACCUGCCCUUAACUCUGGGAUAAGCCUGGGAAACUGGGUCUAAUACCGGAUAGGAGCGUCCACCGCAUGGUGGGUGUUGGAAAGAUUUAUCGGUUUUGGAUGGACUCGCGGCCUAUCAGCUUGUUGGUGAGGAAAUGGCUCACCAAGGCGACGACGGGUAGCCGGCCUGAGAGGGUGACCGGCCACACUGGGACUGAGACACGGCCCAGACUCCUACGGGAGGCAGCAGUGGGGAAUAUUGCACAAUGGGCGCAAGCCUGAUGCAGCGACGCCGCGUGAGGGAUGACGGCCUUCGGGUUGUAAACCUCUUUCAGUAGGGAAGAAGCGAAAGUGACGGUACCUGCAGAAGAAGCACCGGCUAACUACGUG
RNAcentral lists this ribosomal RNA (466 nucleotides) under uncultured bacterium. RNAcentral's name for it is "partial 16S ribosomal RNA". It matches the Rfam family "Bacterial small subunit ribosomal RNA", at positions 28 to 507 of the family's 1533-position model. The record is from RNAcentral.